Molecule: ribosomal RNA, 467 nt
Filed under: uncultured bacterium
Lineage: Bacteria
Description: partial 16S ribosomal RNA
Rfam family: Bacterial small subunit ribosomal RNA
Source: RNAcentral
GAUGAACGCUGGCGGCGCGCCUAACACAUGCAAGUCGAACGAUUAAAGAACAUUAGGGUGUGUAUACAGUGGCGAACGGCUGGGUAACACGUGGGCACCCUGCCCCUUUCAUUUUGAUAGCCACGGAAAAACGUGGACAUUCGCGAAUACUUCGAGACUUCUGCAUGGAAGACCCGAGAAAGUUCCGGCGGUGCGGGAUGGGCCCGCGGGCUGUCAGAUUGUUGGGGGGGUAACGGCCUACCGCGUCAAUGCUGGGUAGCUGGGAUGAGAGCCCGAACAGGCAGCAUGGGACUGAGACACGGCCCAGACGCGUACGGGAGACAGCAGUGGGGAAUCUGGCCCAGUGGGAGAACGUCUGUGGCGGCGACGCCGCGUGCGUAAUGAAGGCCUGCGGGUAGAAAACCGCUUUAAGCAAGUACGAGGCUAAAGUGACGGUACCUGCAGAAGAAGCCCCGGCUAACUACGUG